Coccinella septempunctata (seven-spotted ladybird) is the source of this 547-nucleotide long non-coding RNA. RefSeq lists it as uncharacterized. The record is from RefSeq and is a predicted model, not a curated record. NCBI's taxonomy places the organism in Eukaryota, Metazoa, Arthropoda, Insecta, Coleoptera, Coccinellidae. The transcript is spliced from 5 exons.
GAACAAAAUCAACUACACCUACAGAUGAUGGAAAACAAUAAAUUCCAGGCAAAAGCAAGAAUUUCCGCUGAAAAUUAUUCCAGAGGACUUAGAAGAAAAUCAAGAUGAUGACUAUCAGGAGGGUAGGAAAUACUCAAUCAAUGGACAUUUCAGAUAAAUAACUUGAAAUUGGUGGUUUGUGAUCAUUACGAAGAUGAAGCGAGAGAAAAGAAGUAAUUCUUUUGGAACAAAAUCAACUACAGCAACUUAUGAUGGAAAACAAUAAAUUUUAGAUUAUCGGCAAAGCAAGACUUUCCUCUGAAAAUUAUUUCAGUGGACUGAGAAGAAAAUCAAGAUGAUGACGGUCACAGGGGAAGGAAAUACUCAAUCAAUGGACACUUCAGAUGAAUAAAAUAAAAGUGAUGGCUUGUGAUCAUUACGAAGAUGAGGCGACAGAAAAGAAUUAAUUCCACUGGAACAAAAUCAACGAUACCUACCUAUAAUGGAAAACAAUAAAUUCUGACAAUCGGCAAAGCAAAACUUUCCACGGAAUAUUAUUGGAGGUAGG